AACAGGGAUUGCCCUAGUAACGGCGAGUGAAGCGGCAACAGCUCAAAUUUGAAAUCUGGCUCCUUUGGGGUCCGAGUUGUAAUUUGUAGAGGGUGCUUUGGCGUCGGCCAUGGUCUAAGUUCCUUGGAACAGGACGUCACAGAGGGUGAGAAUCCCGUACGUGGCCGUUGGCCUUCGCCAUGUAAAGCCCCUUCGACGAGUCGAGUUGUUUGGGAAUGCAGCUCUAAAUGGGAGGUAAAUUUCUUCUAAAGCUAAAUAUUGGCCAGAGACCGAUAGCGCACAAGUAGAGUGAUCGAAAGAUGAAAAGCACUUUGGAAAGAGAGUCAAAAAGCACGUGAAAUUGUUGAAAGGGAAGCGCUUGCAGCCAGACUUGCCCGUAGUUGCUCAUCCAGGUUUCGACCUGGUGCACUCUUCUGCGGGCAGGCCAGCAUCAGUCCAGGCGGUCGGAUAAAGGUCUUGGGAAUGUGGCUCUCUUCGGGGAGUGUUAUAGCCCAGGGCGUAAUGCGGCCAGCUUGGACUGAGGUCCGCGCAUCUGCUAGGAUGCUGGCGUAAUGGCUGUAAGCGGCCCGUCU
Molecule: ribosomal RNA, 572 nt
Filed under: Hongkongmyces sp.
Lineage: Eukaryota; Fungi; Ascomycota; Dothideomycetes; Pleosporales; Lindgomycetaceae
Description: partial large subunit ribosomal RNA
Rfam family: Eukaryotic large subunit ribosomal RNA
Source: RNAcentral